Molecule: ribosomal RNA, 105 nt
Filed under: Burkholderia sp. NFPP32
Lineage: Bacteria; Pseudomonadati; Pseudomonadota; Betaproteobacteria; Burkholderiales; Burkholderiaceae
Description: 23S rRNA. Bacterial LSU
Rfam family: Bacterial large subunit ribosomal RNA
Source: RNAcentral
UCCCCUUGAAGGGUCGUUCGAGACCAGGACGUUGAUAGGUCAGGUGUGUAAGCGCAGUAAUGCGUUCAGCUAACUGAUACUAAUUGCCCGUAAGGCUUGAUCCUA